This 745-nucleotide ribosomal RNA is filed under the name uncultured bacterium. Its description in RNAcentral is "bacterial SSU rRNA". It matches the Rfam family "Bacterial small subunit ribosomal RNA", at positions 8 to 766 of the family's 1533-position model. The record is from RNAcentral.
AGAGUUUGAUCCUGGCUCAGAGCGAACGCUGGCGGCGUGCUUAACACAUGCAAGUCGAACGAGUGUAGCAAUACAUUCGUGGCGAACGGGUGCGCAACACGUGGAUAACCUUCCUUGAGGUGGGGAAUAACCCAGUGAAAAUUGGGAUAAUACCGCAUAACAUGACGAUGCCACAUGGCGUUGUCUUCAAAGGCGCAAGUCGCCACAAGAGGGAUCCGCGGCCGAUUAGCUAGUUGGUGAGGUAACGGCUCACCAAGGCUAUGAUCGGUAGCCGGACUGAGAGGUUGGCCGGCCACACUGGAACUGAGACACGGUCCAGACUCCUACGGGAGGCAGCAGUGGGGAAUCUUGCACAAUGGGCGAAAGCCUGAUGCAGCAACGCCGCGUGGGGGAUGAAGCUUCUCGGAGUGUAAACCCCUUUCGACCCGGACGAAUGCCCGCAAGGGUUUGACGGUACGGGUAUAAGAAGCCCCGGCUAACUACGUGCCAGCAGCCGCGGUAAGACGUAGGGGGCCAGCGUUGCUCGGAAUUACUGGGCGUAAAGGGUCCGUAGGCGGUGCGGUAAGUCGGGAGUGAAAUCUCUGGGCUUAACUCAGAGGCUGCUUCCGAAACUGCCGUGCUAGAGUGCGAGAGAGGCAAGUGGAAUUGCGGGUGUAGCGGUGAAAUGCGUAGAUAUCCGCAGGAACAUCCGAGGCGAAAGCGGCUUGCUGGAUCGCAACUGACGCUGAGGGACGAAAGCUAGGGG